CAUGCAAGUCGAGGGGAGACGACAUCGAAAGCUUGCUUUUGAUGGGCGUCGACCGGCGCACGGGUGAGUAACGCGUAUCCAACCUGCCCAUCACUUGGGGAUAACCUUGCGAAAGUAAGACUAAUACCCAAUGAUAUCUCUAGAAGGCAUCUGAAAGAGAUUAAAGAUUUAUCGGUGAUGGAUGGGGAUGCGUCUGAUUAGCUUGUUGGCGGGGUAACGGCCCACCAAAGCAACGAUCAGUAGGGGUUCUGAGAGGAAGGUCCCCCACAUUGGAACUGAGACACGGUCCAAACUCCUACGGGAGGCAGCAGUGAGGAAUAUUGGUCAAUGGACGAGAGUCUGAACCAGCCAAGUAGCGUGCAGGAUGACGGCCCUAUGGGUUGUAAACUGCUUUUAUAAGGGAAUAAAGUGAGUCUCGUGAGACUUUUUGCAUGUACCUUAUGAAUAAGGACCGGCUAAUUCCGUGCCAGCAGCCGCGGUAAUACGGAAGGUCCGGGCGUUAUCCGGAUUUAUUGGGUUUAAAGGGAGCGUAGGCCGGAGAUUAAGCGUGUUGUGAAAUGUAGAUGCUCAACAUCUGCACUGCAGCGCGAACUGGUUUCCUUGAGUACGCACAAAGUGGGCGGAAUUCGUGGUGUAGCGGUGAAAUGCUUAGAUAUCACGAAGAACUCCGAUUGCGAAGGCAGCUCACUGGAGCGCAACUGACGCUGAAGCUCGAAAGUGCGGGUAUCGAACAGGAUUAGAUACCCUGGUAGUCCGCACGGUAAACGAUGGAUGCCCGCUGUUGGUCUGAAUAGGUCAGCGGCCAAGCGAAAGCAUUAAGCAUCCCACCUGGGGAGUACGCCGGCAACGGUGAAACUCAAAGGAAUUGACGGGGGCCCGCACAAGCGGAGGAACAUGUGGUUUAAUUC
This 908-nucleotide ribosomal RNA is filed under the name uncultured bacterium. Its description in RNAcentral is "bacterial SSU rRNA". It matches the Rfam family "Bacterial small subunit ribosomal RNA", at positions 54 to 952 of the family's 1533-position model. The record is from RNAcentral.